This 1182-nucleotide ribosomal RNA is filed under the name Sesame phyllody phytoplasma. RNAcentral describes it as "bacterial SSU rRNA". It matches the Rfam family "Bacterial small subunit ribosomal RNA", at positions 199 to 1388 of the family's 1533-position model. The record is from RNAcentral. Lineage: Bacteria; Bacillati; Mycoplasmatota; Mollicutes; Acholeplasmatales; Acholeplasmataceae.
GACCUAGUUAAUAGGUAUGCUUUAGGAGGGGCUUGCGCCAUAUUAGUUAGUUGGUAGGGUAAUGGCCUACCAAGACGAUGAUGUGUAGCUGGACUGAGAGGUUGAACAGCCACAUUGGGACUGAGACACGGCCCAAACUCCUACGGGAGGCAGCAGUAGGGAAUUUUCGGCAAUGGAGGAAACUCUGACCGAGCAACGCCGCGUGAAUGACGAAGUACUUCGGUAUGUAAAGUUCUUUUAUCGAGGAAGAAAAGCAAAUGGCGAACCAUUUGUUUGCCGGUACUUGAUGAAUAAGCCCCGGCUAAUUAUGUGCCAGCAGCCGCGGUAAGACAUAAGGGGCAAGUGUUAUCCGGAAUUAUUGGGCGUAAAGGGUGCGUAGGCGGUCUAGUAAGUCAGUGGUGUAAUGUCAACGCUUAACGUUGUCCGGCUAUUGAAACUGCUAAACUUGAGUUAGAUAGAGGCGAGUGGAAUUCCAUGUGUAGCGGUAAAAUGCGUAAAUAUAUGGAGGAACACCAGAGGCGUAGGCGGCUCGCUGGGUCUUAACUGACGCUGAGGCACGAAAGCGUGGGGAGCAAACAGGAUUAGAUACCCUGGUAGUCCACGCCGUAAACGAUGAGUACUAAGUGUCGGGUUAAACCGGUACUGAAGUUAACACAUUAAGUACUCCGCCUGAGUAGUACGUACGCAAGUAUGAAACUUAAAGGAAUUGACGGGACUCCGCACAAGCGGUGGAUCAUGUUGUUUAAUUCGAAGAUACCCGAAAAACCUUACCAGGUCUUGACAUGUUUUUGCAAAAUGAUAGUAAUAUCGUGGAGGUUACCAGAAACACAGGUGGUGCAUGGUUGUCGUCAGCUCGUGUCGUGAGAUGUUAGGUUAAGUCCUAAAACGAGCGAAACCCUUAUCGUUAGUUGCCAGCACGUUAUGGUGGGGACUUUAACGAGACUGCCAAUGAUAAAUUGGAGGAAGGUGAGGAUCACGUCAAAUCAGCAUGCCCCUUAUGACCUGGGCUACAAACGUGAUACAAUGGCUGUUACAAAGGGUAGCUGAAACGCAAGUUCUUGGCCAAUCCCCAAAAACAGUCCCAGUCCGGAUUGAAGUCUGCAACUCGACUUCAUGAAGUUGGAAUCGCUAGUAAUCGCGAAUCAGCAUGUCGCGGUGAAUACGUUCUCGGGGUUUGUACAC